GGUGAACGCUGGCGGCGCGCCUUACGCAUGCAAGUCGUGCGGGGCGCGGGCUUCGGCCUGCGCUCAGCGGCAGACGGCUGAGUAACACGUAGGUAACCUGCCCGGAAGUGGGGGAUAACCCGGGGAAACCCGGGCUAAUACCGCAUGUGGUCCGGGGGGGAAGGGCCCCUGGACUAAAGCCCUCGCGGGCGCUUCCGGAGGGGCCUGCGGCCUAUCAGGUAGUUGGUGGGGUAACGGCCCACCAAGCCGACGACGGGUAGCCGGUGUGAGAGCACGA
This 277-nucleotide ribosomal RNA is filed under the name uncultured bacterium. Its description in RNAcentral is "partial 16S ribosomal RNA". It matches the Rfam family "Bacterial small subunit ribosomal RNA", at positions 28 to 303 of the family's 1533-position model. The record is from RNAcentral.